This is a long non-coding RNA of Sorghum bicolor (sorghum), 1433 nucleotides long. RefSeq lists it as uncharacterized. The record is from RefSeq and is a predicted model, not a curated record. Lineage: Eukaryota; Viridiplantae; Streptophyta; Magnoliopsida; Poales; Poaceae. The transcript has 3 exons.
UUUAUUCAUUGUCUAAAAAAGAUUUGAGAGUUGAAACUCAAAACUAAAUGGCACCACAUGCGUAUGCUAGCUGGUCACUGCUUAUAUAUGUAAAAAAAUCAGUAUCUCUACUAUAAUGGACCAAUCAAAACUAUUCUAGGUCCACCAAAGAAAACGUCCCCCGCUGAGGGCCUCCAACCAUUAUGCACCUAGAAAAGUACACACAGAAAAUUGUCUCCAUUAAAAUCAAGGGCUAUCAAACCAUUUGAAUCCAAUCCGAUGGCUGCCGAUGAAAGUUUGAUGCAAGGCUUCAAACUCAGUCACCCCACGCUUCCGCCCUAACAGGACAUCUCCUCCGUGGCAUGCCGCCGCCUCCACGAUCUAGCCGCAGUUAUUCCGCCGCCGGCCGUCUCCUCGGUGGCCUCACGAUCCUGCUGCCGGCCGUCUCCUCCAUGGCCUGUCGCCUCCUCACUGAGCCGAUGGACAACGAUGGCGUUCUCGUCCUCCAGAUCCGAUGAAGAAGAAUAAGCUCUUGGGGUUAGAUAAGGCUCCCUCCCACAUUUUGUGUCGUUGUGGCCUCCGAUGACUCCAGUGCACCCCGCAGCAGCGAGAGGUUUUACUUUGGUCACAUCGGAGAUAAAUUCAGUAAUGAAGCUUGCUUUGUUGAUCACCUGCGUGUGGAUACCUGACUGCAUCAUGUCACUGAACAUUGGUUCAUGCAUGUAUGUUACAUGAUUGAAAAUGCAGGUUACGUUAUGAACCCCAUGACUAGCUGUCCAUUAGUAUUUUUGACGGGACUGGAUAUAAUUGUUGGUUCUGGGAAAGCAUCUUUUGGUGCCUUCCAAGAUUGGCAAGAAAUGAUGUGAUCUUUUGUUUAAGUUGGAUGGGGGCAAGAGCAUCAUAUUCUUUAGAACCAACUAGAAGGCGUCCUGUUUGGUUAGUUCACUGCAAGUUUGUGGAGUAAUGUCAAUGUAGGGAUGUGUAAGUUUAUUUCAAGUUUGGUUCUUCUAUUGCAGAUGAAAUCCAUAGUUCCCUUCUGAAAAGUGAUCGACCUGGCUCAAAUCUAAGCUCUGAUCGAACUCAAUACAUUGCGUACCUUUAAUUUAAUUAGGUUUUAUUAAAUUAUUUAUAUUCUGUUGCAGCUUCCUUUGUCGUGCAUGGAAAUAUAUGGUGAAUGCAGUGCCUGAACCUGGGAUAUAUGCCCAUGUCCCUUCAGUGCGCCCACUCCAUGAAAAUAUAGAAGCUGCCUCUCUUUGUUACUAUAUCUAGCUUCGACUAGCUCAAGCGAACAUGCUCGAACCUCACAUUGAUGCUUCACGAGACUGUUCAAAUAAGGACAAGAGUACUACACAGUAUAGCAUCAAACAUUCCAGAGAUGAAGACCUGUCAAAAAUUUAAUGAAAUUCUUUAGGUUCGCUGCCGGAUCGAAGAUGAUUUCUUUUUUACUUGCCUGA